GACAGAGGUGCCAAGCGUUAGGCGGAAUCACUGGGCUUAAAGCGUGUGUAGGCGGAUCGUUAAGUACCUUGUGAAAUCCCACGGCUCAACCGUGGAACUGCUGGGUAUACUGGCGAUCUUGAGCCACCUAGGGGCGAGCGGAACAAGCGGUGGAGCGGUGAAAUGCGUAGAUAUCGCUUGGAACGCCAAUGGUGAAAACAGCUCGCUGGGGGUGUGCUGACGCUUAGGCGCGAAAGCGUGGGGAGCAAACAGG
This 253-nucleotide ribosomal RNA is filed under the name uncultured bacterium. RNAcentral's name for it is "partial 16S ribosomal RNA". It matches the Rfam family "Bacterial small subunit ribosomal RNA", at positions 524 to 776 of the family's 1533-position model. The record is from RNAcentral.